CUCAGCUGUGCAUGUGUCUGUGUGUGUGUGUGUGUGCAUACUGUAUGUGGAUGUAUAUGUGUGUCUUUGUAUUUGGAGCACUGCAGACGAUUCACAGCUACAGCUGUGUUAAAUUUGCCUAGAUAUUGCUCUGCAGUCAAACAGUCACGCUGCUGAUUACUCUGAAAUCCUAUCAGUACUGUUCUGCCUACAGUACUCUUUCAAAAUGAGCUCUACCAAUCAUGUUGUAGGAAUGUGAUAAGGAUAUUUGUCUUACCAAUGUCUCCAGUAUUGUUGAGAUGAAGGAGAAGGAAUAAUUUACCAUUGACAACAGCUGCUAAGGAAAAAGAUGGUGUUUGUGCGUGUGUGCGCGUACAUGUGUGUUCACUUAUGAUUUGUUCCCGGACAUUUCUUUCGGAAGCAAUGAUAUUGGGAAAGUCGUGAGAGUGCAGGUGUGUGUGUUGGGGGGUAUGGUGAAGGCUGAAGAGGGUGGGGCCCAAGAUAGGUGGUUGAUAUUGCCUUUUUUUAAAUAUACUUGUCUAAGUAGAUUUCACGUUAGUGUUCCUUAUAGCAGAGUUUUGCCACUUUAGAAUCCUUGAUGUCUUUUGUGUUUAUGAGUGUCUGUGGGUUUAGACUUGGCAGUGAUAGUGCAGGUGUGUUAGGGGGAAUAAAUAACAAGUAGUCACCCAAGAAAUUAUUGAAGAAGAAAGGCUGUGACUCUGCAGAUUGACUACACAAAUAAUUAUCACUCUCUCUCUCCCAGUCAAUUGCUGAGAUGUUGACUCACAUCACAUUAUCUUUUGAGUUCUUUGAUUUUUUUUAUUUGAAGCAAUCGGUGUGUCAUGUACUUGCGACAGUAUACUCACAUUCUAGAUGAACCGUCUGUCUCCGUCUUCAUUACCAGACGUCGAAUAACCAACCAUGGCAUGAAAAACACAUUUGAUUGUGACAUUGGUUAAGCCUAUAUUGACCUACAAGAGACCCCUCCCUCGACUGGCCUGGGGGUUUCGGAAGUGUUUGCGGUAGACAAUGAGAUCAGCGGUAAUUAUGGAGAAUGUAUGUCUUCUGUGGAUAGGCACCAACUUGCCUUCGCGGAAGGCAUUGCGAAGCGCGGCACUUCCGACCCAUAGCCUAUUGGUGUGCGGUCCAUAACAGAAACCCCUCGAGGCGCAGGGCGGGCAGGCUAAGGAUAUGGACGGGGAAUAGACACGAGGAGGAGGAGAUGGGAGGAUAUUGAUCGGCUACAACUCGACGUGGACCGUUCAACACAUGCAGUCACUAAAGAGGAAAGAAAGAUGACAAGGAAAAGAGCUGCCACUGAGAGAAAGAAGAGAAGAGAGAGUGUGAACGGUGAAGCUGGACUGAAAGAGAUGCCAGGAGCCCUGGGUCUGGGAAUCACACUCAUCAAACACAGUAUGAAGCUGCCUGGACCGGAUGACGGCGCUGCUAUACAGACUGGCCAUGCAGAAAAACUCCCUCUUUGUAGGUGAAUGAGUGGCCCAGUCAGGAUUACUUACUGCAAGGGUCUUAACCCACCAACCAGCAGUACUCCAUCUCAGAGGCUAAAAACAGACAUGGAGACACACUUAACAAGGCCUUAUUAGAUUACUAGUGAUCCUCUGCUGAAUGUGUUUAAAUAAGUCACAAGCUCCCAGGUAUUCAGUGCUAACCCAGUGACAAGAGACGGCCGUCUUUGCUUGGACUGUGCCAAACAAUGUUGGCAUUUUGGGUCCUUGUGGGCAGCCGUGUGGGUGUCUGUCAGCUGCUCAGUAGUCAGUGUAGAUCCUGUGGGGCAGUCAGCAGCUACAUCUGGCUACUGGGUCGCUGAUGGCUACCAUGUUCUUCGUGUCUCAAAUAUUGUGCAUGUUACAUGUACUGUGAUUGAUUUAGUAUAGCUUGUAUUCUAAAUUUACGUUCAGUGUGCUGGUAGGUUGUUGACCUGGCAUACAGUGUAGAAUUCUGUGUGGGUGAUUCUACAGCUACAUUGUCUGCUGGGUUUUAGGCCCUACUCAAAUAACUCACUCAAUCUCACGGUAAGUAUUUUCUCCCAAUUCAGAGACCGUGUGACAAUGCUUUUGUAUCAUCAAAUAAAUACAAGUUAUAGAAGUAUUGUUGUGAUUUCUAAUGCGUUGAGGUCCGCUGUAUUUGGAUUGGGCCCUGUUGUCUAGAAAGUACAAUAUUUUACUAGGAUCCUGUGUUCACCGUGGCCUUGAAAUGUACAUUAUGUCUUAGAAGUUGCAGCACAAAAUAAAUGAAUGCAAAACAAUUCAUUAUUUCUGCAGACAUACUGUACGCACACAUUGGUGAAAGUAAUUAUAUCCAUGGAUUAUUUGACAAUUGUGUUUAAUGACUCGUCAUAAAACAUUCUUCAAAACAAUAAAACAAUUUUAAAUGUCA
This is a long non-coding RNA of Salvelinus fontinalis (brook trout), 2376 nucleotides long. RefSeq lists it as uncharacterized. The record is from RefSeq and is a predicted model, not a curated record. The transcript has 4 exons. NCBI's taxonomy places the organism in Eukaryota, Metazoa, Chordata, Actinopteri, Salmoniformes, Salmonidae.